RNAcentral lists this unclassified non-coding RNA (395 nucleotides) under soil metagenome. Its description in RNAcentral is "partial contains 5.8S ribosomal RNA, internal transcribed spacer 2, and large subunit ribosomal RNA". The stretch from base 1 to 120 matches the Rfam family "5.8S ribosomal RNA", at positions 35 to 154 of the family's 154-position model. The record is from RNAcentral.
GAUGAAGAACGUAGCGAAACGCGAUAAGUAAUGUGAAUUGCAGAAUUUAGUGAAUCAUCGAAUCUUUGAACGCACCUUGCGCCUUUUGGUAUUCCGAAAGGCACACCUGUUUGAGCGUCAUGAAUACCUCAAUCUCCAUCUUUUCUUCGGAUUGAUGGGUGACUUGGAUGUUGAGCCCUGCUGGUAUGCUAUAUCAGCUGGCUUUAAACUUAUUAGCCGGCUCUGUACUGGAUCGGUUUGACUCGACGUGAUAAUAUUAUCGUUGAGGAUGCAUGUCUCAUGCAGCCGGAAAGUAUCAAAGCAGCUUCUAGCUUGCCUUUAGUGCACUUUUACAUUUUAGACCUCAGAUCAGGUGGGACUACCCGCUGAACUUAAGCAUAUCAAUAAGCGGAGGA